Molecule: ribosomal RNA, 254 nt
Filed under: uncultured bacterium
Lineage: Bacteria
Description: partial 16S ribosomal RNA
Rfam family: Bacterial small subunit ribosomal RNA
Source: RNAcentral
UACGUAGGUGGCAAGCGUUUGUCCGGAAUUAUUGGGCGUAAAGCGCGCGCAGGCGGCCUCUUAAGUCUGAUGUGAAAGCCCACGGCUCAACCGUGGAGGGUCAUUGGAAACUGGGGGACUUGAGUACAGAAGAGAAGAGUGGAAUUCCACGUGUAGCGGUGAAAUGCGUAGAGAUGUGGAGGAACACCAGUGGCGAAGGCGACUCUUUGGUCUGUAACUGACGCUGAGGCGCGAAAGCGUGGGGAGCAAACAGG